This 85-nucleotide transfer RNA is filed under the name Streptomyces sp. ISL-21. Its description in RNAcentral is "tRNA-Leu". It matches the Rfam family "tRNA". From Rfam's summary of the family: Transfer RNA (tRNA) molecules are approximately 80 nucleotides in length. RNAcentral also lists the same sequence under 3 other names. The record is from RNAcentral. Lineage: Bacteria; Bacillati; Actinomycetota; Actinomycetes; Kitasatosporales; Streptomycetaceae.
GCGGUUGUGGUGGAAUCAGGUAGUCACGCUGGGUUUAGGUCCCAGUGGGGUAACACCCGUGGGGGUUCGAGUCCCCCCAACCGCA